AACGAACGCUGGCGGCAUGCCUAACACAUGCAAGUCGAACGCCUGUAGCAAUACAGGAGUGGCAGACGGGUGCAUAACACGUGGGAACCUACCCUAGGGUUCGGAAUAACCGCGGGAAACUGCGGCUAAUACCGGAUACGUCCUCUGGGAGAAAGAUUUAUCGCCCUUGGAGGGGCCCGCGUCGGAUUAGCUAGUUGGUGAGGUAACGGCUCACCAAGGCGACGAUCCGUAGCUGAUCUGAGAGGAUGAUCAGCCACACUGGAACUGAGACACGGUCCAGACUCCUACGGGAGGCAGCAGUGGGGAAUAUUGGACAAUGGGGGCAACCCUGAUCCAGCAAUGCCGCGUGGGUGAUGAAGGCC
Molecule: ribosomal RNA, 362 nt
Filed under: uncultured bacterium
Lineage: Bacteria
Description: bacterial SSU rRNA
Rfam family: Bacterial small subunit ribosomal RNA
Source: RNAcentral